Molecule: ribosomal RNA, 484 nt
Filed under: uncultured bacterium
Lineage: Bacteria
Description: partial 16S ribosomal RNA
Rfam family: Bacterial small subunit ribosomal RNA
Source: RNAcentral
AUUGAACGCUGGCGGCAGGCCUAACACAUGCAAGUCGAGCGGAUGAAGGGAGCUUGCUCCUGGAUUCAGCGGCGGACGGGUGAGUAAUGCCUAGGAAUCUGCCUGGUAGUGGGGGAUAACGUCCGGAAACGGGCGCUAAUACCGCAUAGGUCCAGAGGGAGAAAGGGGGGGAUCUUCGGACCUCACGCUAUCAGAUGAGCCUAGGUCGGAUUAGCUAGUUGGUGGGGUAAAGGCCUACCAAGGCGACGAUCCGUAACUGGUCUGAGAGGGUGAUCAGUCACACUGGAACUGAGACACGGUCCAGACUCCUACGGGAGGCAGCAGUGGGGAAUAUUGGACAAUGGGCGAAAGCCUGAUCCAGCCAUGCCGCGUGUGUGAAGAAGGUCUUCGGAUUGUAAAGCACUUUUAGUUGGGAGGAAGGGCAGUAAGUUAAUCCCUUGCUGUUUUGACGUUACCAACAGAAUAAGCACCGGCUAACUUCGUG